AUUGCACGCUGGCGGCAUGCCUUACACAUGCAAGUCGAACGGCAGCGGACCUUCGGGUGCCGGCGAGUGGCGAACGGGUGAGUAAUAUAUCGGAACGUGCCCAAUCGUGGGGGAUAACGUAGCGAAAGUUACGCUAAUACCGCAUAAGCCCUGAGGGGGAAAGUGGGGGACCGCAAGGCCUCACGCGAAUGGAGCGGCCGAUGUCAGAUUAGCUAGUUGGUGGGGUAAAGGCCCACCAAGGCGACGAUCUGUAGCGGGUCUGAGAGGAUGAUCCGCCACACUGGGACUGAGACACGGCCCAGACUCCUACGGGAGGCAGCAGUGGGGAAUUUUGGACAAUGGGCGCAAGCCUGAUCCAGCCAUGCCGCGUGCGGGACGAAGGCCU
RNAcentral lists this ribosomal RNA (385 nucleotides) under uncultured bacterium. RNAcentral describes it as "bacterial SSU rRNA". It matches the Rfam family "Bacterial small subunit ribosomal RNA", at positions 29 to 417 of the family's 1533-position model. The record is from RNAcentral.